This 463-nucleotide ribosomal RNA is filed under the name uncultured Nitrosomonas sp. RNAcentral describes it as "bacterial SSU rRNA". It matches the Rfam family "Bacterial small subunit ribosomal RNA", at positions 198 to 638 of the family's 1533-position model. Lineage: Bacteria; Pseudomonadati; Pseudomonadota; Betaproteobacteria; Nitrosomonadales; Nitrosomonadaceae. The record is from RNAcentral.
GGAGAAAAGGCAUUGCCGUUCGCAAGACCUAGCAGCUAAAGGAGCGGCCGAUGUCUGAUUAGUUAGUUGGUGGGGUAAAGGCCUACCAAGGCAACGAUCAGUAGCUGGUCUGAGAGGACGAUCAGCCACACUGGGACUGAGACACGGCCCAGACUCCUACGGGAGGCAGCAGUGGGGAAUUUUGGACAAUGGGCGAAAGCCUGAUCCAGCCAUGCCGCGUGAAUAAAGAAGGCCUUCGGGUUGUAAAGUUCUUUUAGUUGGAAAGAAAAAAUUAUGAUGAAUAAUCAUAAUUCAUGACGGUACCGACAGAAAAAGCACCGGCUAACUACGUGCCAGCAGCCGCGGUAAUACGUAGGGUGCAAGCGUUAAUCGGAAUUACUGGGCGUAAAGGGUGUGCAGGCGGCCUUGUAAGUCAGAUGUGAAAGCCCCGGGCUUAACCUGGGAAUUGCGUUUGAAACUACAA